Molecule: ribosomal RNA, 273 nt
Filed under: uncultured bacterium
Lineage: Bacteria
Description: partial 16S ribosomal RNA
Rfam family: Bacterial small subunit ribosomal RNA
Source: RNAcentral
GACGGAGGGUGCAAGCGUUGUUCGGAAUCACUGGGCGUAAAGCGCGUGUAGGCGGUUCGAUAAGUCGGACGUGAAAGCCCGGGGCUUAACCCCGGAAGGGCAUCCGAAACUGUCGAGCGUGAGUACGGGAGAGGGAAGCGGAAGUCCUGGUGGAGAGGUGACCUUCGUAGCUCUCAGGAGGAACACCGGGGGCGAAGGCGGCGUCCUGUACCGAUACUGACUCUGAGACGCGAAAUCUUGGGGAGCCAACAGGAUUAGAUACCCGCGUAGUCC